Molecule: ribosomal RNA, 465 nt
Filed under: Vreelandella stevensii
Lineage: Bacteria; Pseudomonadati; Pseudomonadota; Gammaproteobacteria; Oceanospirillales; Halomonadaceae
Description: partial 16S ribosomal RNA
Rfam family: Bacterial small subunit ribosomal RNA
Source: RNAcentral
UCUACGGGGGGCAGCAGUGGGGAAUAUUGGACAAUGGGGGCAACCCUGAUCCAGCCAUGCCGCGUGUGUGAAGAAGGCCCUCGGGUUGUAAAGCACUUUCAGUGAGGAAGAACGCCUGGUGGUUAAUACCCAUCAGGAAAGACAUCACUCACAGAAGAAGCACCGGCUAACUCCGUGCCAGCAGCCGCGGUAAUACGGAGGGUGCGAGCGUUAAUCGGAAUUACUGGGCGUAAAGCGCGCGUAGGUGGCUUGAUAAGCCGGUUGUGAAAGCCCCGGGCUCAACCUGGGAACGGCAUCCGGAACUGUCAAGCUAGAGUGCAGGAGAGGAAGGUAGAAUUCCCGGUGUAGCGGUGAAAUGCGUAGAGAUCGGGAGGAAUACCAGUGGCGAAGGCGGCCUUCUGGACUGACACUGACACUGAGGUGCGAAAGCGUGGGUAGCAAACAGGAUUAGAUACCCGUGUAGUC